Molecule: ribosomal RNA, 403 nt
Filed under: uncultured bacterium
Lineage: Bacteria
Description: partial 16S ribosomal RNA
Rfam family: Bacterial small subunit ribosomal RNA
Source: RNAcentral
AUUGAACGCUGGCGGCAGGCCUAACACAUGCAAGUCGAGCGAGCGGCGGACGGGUGAUUAAUGUAUGGGGACUGCCCGAUAGAGGGGGAUAACCACUGGAAACGGUAGCUAAUACUGCAUAUUAUCGGAUAACCCAUGUGGGAUUAGCUAGUAGGUGAGGUAAUGGCUCACGUAGGCGACGAUCCCUAGCUGGUCUGAGAGGAUGAUCAGCCACACUGGGACUGAGACACGGCCCAGACUCCGACGGAGGCAGCAGGGGGGAAUGUUGCACAAUGGGCGCAAGCCUGAUCCAGCCAUCCCGCGUGUAUGAUGAAGGCCUUCGGGUUGUAAAGUACUUGUGGCAGAGAAGCGGUAUCUGCAGAAUAAGCACCGGCUAACUACGUGCCAGCAGCCGCGGUAAUUC